AACGAACGCUGGCGGCAUGCCUAACACAUGCAAGUCGAACGAGACCUUCGGGUCUAGUGGCGCACGGGUGCGUAACGCGUGGGAAUCUGCCCUUCGGUUGGGAAUAACUGAGAGAAAUUUCAGCUAAUACCUUAUAAUGUCUUCGGACCAAAGAUUUAUCGCCGAGGGAUGAGCCCGCGUAGGAUUAGGUAGUUGGUGGGGUAAUGGCCUACCAAGCCGACGAUCCUUAGCUGGUCUGAGAGGAUGAUCAGCCACACUGGGACUGAGACACGGCCCAGACUCAUACGGGAGGCAGCAGUGGGGAAUAUUGGACAAUGGGCGAAAGACUGAUCCAUCAAUGCCGCGUGAGUGAUGAAGGCCGUAGGGUUGUAAAGCUCUUUUACCAGGGAUGAUAAUGACAGUACCGGGAGAAUAAGCACCGGCUAAGUCCGUG
Molecule: ribosomal RNA, 433 nt
Filed under: uncultured bacterium
Lineage: Bacteria
Description: partial 16S ribosomal RNA
Rfam family: Bacterial small subunit ribosomal RNA
Source: RNAcentral